GGAUACGUUCUUUUCUCGCAUGAGAGAAGAUGGAAAGACGGUUUACGCUGUCACUUAUAGAUGGGCCCGCGGCGCAUUAGCUAGUUGGUGAGGUAAUGGCUCACCAAGGCGACGAUGCGUAGCCGACCUGAGAGGGUGAUCGGCCACACUGGGACUGAGACACGGCCCAGACUCCUACGGGAGGCAGCAGUAGGGAAUCUUCCGCAAUGGACGAAAGUCUGACGGAGCAACGCCGCGUGAACGAAGAAGGCCUUCGGGUCGUAAAGUUCUGUUGUUAGGGAAGAACAAGUACCAGAGUAACUGCUGGUACCUUGACGGUACCUAACCAGAAAGCCACGGCUAACUACGUGCCAGCAGCCGCGGUAAUACGUAGGUGGCAAGCGUUGUCCGGAAUUAUUGGGCGUAAAGCGCGCGCAGGUGGUUCCUUAAGUCUGAUGUGAAAGCCCACGGCUCAACCGUGGAGGGUCAUUGGAAACUGGGGAACUU
Molecule: ribosomal RNA, 486 nt
Filed under: bacterium
Lineage: Bacteria
Description: bacterial SSU rRNA
Rfam family: Bacterial small subunit ribosomal RNA
Source: RNAcentral